GACGAGGGGUGCAAGCGUUAUUCGGAAUUACUGGGCGUAAAGGGCGUGUAGGCGGAAUGUUAAGUCAGUUGUUAAAGACCAUUACUCAAUGAUGGGGAGGCAAUUGAAACUAGCAAUCUAGAGUUGAGCAGAGGGAAGUGGAAUUCUCGGAGUAGCGGUAAAAUGCGUAGAUCUCGAGAGGAACACCAAUGGCGAAGGCA
This 200-nucleotide ribosomal RNA is filed under the name uncultured bacterium. Its description in RNAcentral is "partial 16S ribosomal RNA". It matches the Rfam family "Bacterial small subunit ribosomal RNA", at positions 524 to 723 of the family's 1533-position model. The record is from RNAcentral.